AGACCCAGCAACGAUAUCCGGCCGACCCACCCCACUUCUUUUUUCUUCCUCACAGUGAACCCAUCCAUCGCAUGACUAUUGUCGUCUUCCUCCAAUUUGUACGUGAUUUGUAGCAGACCAAUUUGUCCUCGUCCUUGAAGAACCAGGUGUCUCGAUCUUACUCCUUCUUCGUCCUUUGCUCAAAAUUGGACGACCCUCACUUCUCUUCCGUUGGAAUUGGUAAGACUCAUGGUUAUCCAACCUUAUCCUAAGGGUGGGAAUCGAAAUUUCAAAUUCAAAACCCAUUCCAUUUUCCCUCCUCACGUUUAGAUCAUAUCUCCUUCUAUAUAAACCUUCUUUUACCUUCAUUUGGGUUUGGUCUGGGUUUUUUUUUUUGAAAAAAAACAGUGGAAAAAGUUGGAGAAAAUGUUGGGAAAAAGAUUUUUUACUAUGGGAAAGAAUAGAUUAGCUAAGAGAUAUAAGAUAAGAAUCGAAGUCAAUACACGAAACUAUUUUGGAAGUAGGUUCUGCAAUUGUGAAGGUUCAAGGUGACGUUCCUUUGGUUCUGUUUUCUCACGAUCUCGCUAGAGUUCUCGGAACUUACAUUGUGUUUGUGGAAGUUCUGCUAGAGCUCUUUUAGUCUUAAUUCGCUGCCCGUAGAAAGGUCUAAUUUCUCUGGCGUGUUAUCUUGUCUCAAAUCUUCACUCAGUUCUCUUCUUACUCGAGUCACUUGUUCAAGCUAUAAUGGACUGAUGCAGGCAGGGUAGUUUUCAAUUUGCUUAGUGACGAUAAUAUUUGUUUCGAAUCGACUCUAUUUUGGUUGAAUUCCAACCUGUGAUCUAGUUGAGUCCCUCUAUUUCAUGGAAGUUUUGGAAUUAAUUGACAGUUUGUUUAGUGUCGAUAAUAUUUGUUUCGAAUCGACUCUAUUUUGAUCGAAUUUCAACCUGUGAUCUAGUCUAGUCCCUUUAUUGCGUGGAAGUUUUGAAAUUAAUUGACUGUUUACUUUGGUAUAGGAGUAAGAUUGUUCCUUCCUUUAUGUAUGUUUUUUAGCUAUUGUGUUAAAUUUUCUUUGCGGUUAUGCUAGUUUAGGGGCUUGUUCCCAGCAUGUUUUGAAGUGAUGUUGUGAAUCUAUUCUUAAGUCGUAUUCAUGGGUUCAGUUUAGAGAAUUCUCAUUAAUGUGUAUCGGAUGACGUUUUGAAUCAAGUAUCUCAAUCUAAUACUUUUACUUCACUGUUUCAAUAAUUGGUUUACUUUUGGCAAACUCACUUCAUUGUAUUACUUGUUUUUUAAAAAAAAAAAUUAAGCUUCUAUAAUGAUCCAUUUCCUCUAAUUGUUUACUGUUAUAGAUUUUAGACUUAUUUUGCACGUGUAUGGGUUGUUGCCUUUAUUUUAAGUUGAUUGUUGUCCAUGAAGUAAAUGAUUAACAACCUUUUCAAUCUAAAAUGUUUUAAUCUUAUUUUUGCUUCAGGAAAGAAAUUUAAAUUUAUUAGUCGUGUGGUUACAUUAUCUUUCGUGUCUGUUGAGUAGCGUGAUAAGGUCGUGUUUGCUGGAACAUGUUAGAUUCAUUAGUUUUUUGGAAAUUUGUUCAAGCUGGAGUAGUCAAUUUAUAAUCACUUUUGUUAAUCCUACAAUAAGAUGCUAACUCUUGUUUAUGCAUUUUUUAAUGUGAAGUAUACCGAGUUCAUCGAGAACUCCUUCCUUCCUGCAUUUUGAGAAAACCAUAAAGGCUUAGUUUCCUCUUUUUGAGUCAAUCCAUAAAAUUUGAUGGGCAGAUUGUUGAAGUUGAACUAGCAUGAAGAUUGAAGAAAGCCGAAGAAGUUGGAUUAGAAGAUCCAAUUCAGUAUUAUUUUGUAUUUUGUUAUUUUCGGGCUUAAGCCAUUGUCGUUUAUUUUCUGUAUUUAUUUUGUAUUAAUUAUUUCCUUAGUUUAGAACAGGAUGGAAGAAAUGGGUCGAAAAUCCAAAAAGUCAAAUGGAUCAAAAACCCAAAACAGGUGGGUCCAAAAUUCUGGUCAAGGCAAACGGAACACGGAUUUGGAAUCAAAUUUCUCCCCUCUCCUCUUUACUUAUUUUUUUUAUUAUUUGUUGUUUUGUUUGUCGCUAGUUUAAAGCUAGAAGAAUCCGAAUCCCCAAAAAAUGUCACUUUAGUUUUAACGGCU
Molecule: long non-coding RNA, 2135 nt
Organism: Solanum pennellii
Lineage: Eukaryota; Viridiplantae; Streptophyta; Magnoliopsida; Solanales; Solanaceae
Exons: 2
Source: RefSeq, a predicted model, not a curated record